RNAcentral lists this unclassified non-coding RNA (521 nucleotides) under Leishmania donovani. Its description in RNAcentral is "gene:unknown". Lineage: Eukaryota; Euglenozoa; Kinetoplastea; Trypanosomatida; Trypanosomatidae. The record is from RNAcentral.
AGAGAACAUAACGUCGUCAUCGGUGUGAGUGCAGCGGAAGCGGCCGAAAACGUGAAUACAAAAGCACGUGAAUGAAACCACCAAAAGUUCAACUGGAUCAGCCGACUAAGAACUGAAUAAAGGUGCUUAAGCUCGGUACGUCGAACACGACAAUCCAAAAAAAAAAAAUCGCACACGCACACCAUGAUAGAAACGAAGCACAGUGUGCAGCAAGGUGGGCUUGACAAUCAUAGAUUCAAGUUCCGCGCUGGAAGAGUCAAGGUAGCACGUUGCUGACCUUCCUCGUCGGCUCGUCACUCACCCGCACUAGCCCACCCUCACCCCACCCCCUUACACACACACCAGCACUUUUCUUUCUUUCCAGCAUAUUUCGAAACAGCCUUCCCUGCGCAGCUGCCCUGUUGCGUGUGUGUCUGUGCGUCUCGGCGAGCAGCUUUCUGAUAAGCCAACGCUCACCCGGCGUCAUCUUGACUUGAACAUACAUACGCUCCUCUACAUCUUCGUUGCAUCGCACCCUUCAG